UGGAUCAAUGAGGAGUACCCUGGGAUGUCUGAACGGAGGACUGUGAUUAAGCCCUGUAACUCUGAGGGUCCAU
This 73-nucleotide small nucleolar RNA is filed under the name Mesocricetus auratus (golden hamster). RNAcentral describes it as "Small nucleolar RNA SNORD113/SNORD114 family (ENSMAUG00000002303.1)". Lineage: Eukaryota; Metazoa; Chordata; Mammalia; Rodentia; Cricetidae. The record is from RNAcentral.